This 400-nucleotide ribosomal RNA is filed under the name uncultured bacterium. Its description in RNAcentral is "bacterial SSU rRNA". It matches the Rfam family "Bacterial small subunit ribosomal RNA", at positions 355 to 747 of the family's 1533-position model. The record is from RNAcentral.
UAGGGAAUCUUCCACAAUGGGCGCAAGCCUGAUGGAGCAACGCCGCGUGAAUGAAGAAGGUCUUCGGAUCGUAAAAUUCUGUUGUUAGAGAAGAAUAUGAGUAAUAGUAACUGAUUAUUCACUGACGGUAUCUAACCAGCAAGUCACGGCUAACUACGUGCCAGCAGCCGCGGUAAUACGUAGGUGGCAAGCGUUGUCCGGAUUUAUUGGGCGUAAAGGGAACGCAGGCGGUUUUUUAAGUCUGAUGUGAAAGCCUUCGGCUUAACCGGAGAUGUGCAUUGGAAACUGGAAGACUUGAGUGCAGAAGAGGAGAGUGGAACUCCAUGUGUAGCGGUGAAAUGCGUAGAUAUAUGGAAGAACACCAGUGGCGAAAGCGGCUCUCUGGUCUGUAACUGACGCU